Molecule: ribosomal RNA, 317 nt
Filed under: uncultured Glomeromycotina
Lineage: Eukaryota; Fungi; Glomeromycota
Description: SSU rRNA
Rfam family: Eukaryotic small subunit ribosomal RNA
Source: RNAcentral
AGCAGCCGCGGUAAUUCCAGCUCCAAUAGCGUAUAUUAAAGUUGUUGCAGUUAAAAAGCUCGUAGUUGAACUUCGGGGUUUACCCAUUGGUCAGGCUUAAUUGUCUGCACUGGUGAGAUGAAUCUCUACCUUCUGAGGAACUUUCAUGCCAUUUAUUUGGUGUGAUGGGAAAUCAGGACUGUUACUUUGAAAAAUUGAGUGUUUAAAGCAGGCUAACGUCUGAAUACAUUAGCAUGGAAUAAUGAAAUAGGACGGACUGAUUCUAUUUCGUUGGUUUCUAGAAUCGACGUAAUGAUUAAUAGGGAUAGUUGGGGGCA